GAUCUGUCAUUCUAGCAUAGUUCAUUUGUGGCUCUGAUCAAGUCAUUGAGCUGAUCACUCCCACGUCUACGCCAAGGAUUUCAUCAGCUGGGUCAUUUGUCUUGCAAAGAGCUGCAGAAGGUUCUACCCCAAACCAAGCAGAAUCUCUCAAUGCUGACGUGAAAACAAGAACAGGCUGGUUCAGAUGGGAUGACAAGCCAUGGAAAUGGAGGAACUAUUACACUAAAGAAUGCAAAGUCUGCAAUCUAAGGAAAACACAGGAAAUCUGAAAUUGAAGUAGGCUGCCAUCCUUUCUGAUUGCUGUACGUCCAUUAUGAAUUAUAUAUUUUUGCAAUGUA
This is a long non-coding RNA of Hemicordylus capensis (graceful crag lizard), 338 nucleotides long. RefSeq lists it as uncharacterized. The transcript is spliced from 3 exons. The record is from RefSeq and is a predicted model, not a curated record. NCBI's taxonomy places the organism in Eukaryota, Metazoa, Chordata, Lepidosauria, Squamata, Cordylidae.